UACAGAGGGUGCAAGCGUUAAUCGGAAUUACUGGGCGUAAAGCGCACGUAGGUGGAUAUUUAAGUCGAUUGUGAAAUCCCUGGGCUUAACCUGGGAACUGCAUUCGAUACUGGAUAUCUAGAGUAUGGUAGAGGAAAGUAGAAUUCCCGGUGUAGCGGUGAAAUGCGUAGAUAUCGGGAGGAAUACCAGUGGCGGAAGCGGCUUUCUGGACUAAUACUGACACUAAGGUGCGAAAGCGUGGGUAGCAAACAGG
Molecule: ribosomal RNA, 253 nt
Filed under: uncultured bacterium
Lineage: Bacteria
Description: partial 16S ribosomal RNA
Rfam family: Bacterial small subunit ribosomal RNA
Source: RNAcentral